UAAAACAACAGGAUCGCAUCCAGGUUACAGUAUUGAAAUUAGAAUCCACCACUAAUUAUUACACCACAUCUCUUACCAAAUCAGAUCAUCUUCGAUAAGAAGAAUCACUGCCAAUUUGUUCCAGCUAUGAAUUACAUCUGAAUCUCAAUAGCUCAACUCUAGCUAGCACCAACUUUAUAAAUCUUCCUGAAUACUCCUUGACCACUGAAUCCUCAACUCUGAAUCCUCGCCUAGCCUUAGCCUUACUCGCAAUCAUAGUCUAGCCAUUCAUCUUUAAUCCUUUCUGAAAUGGUUAAAAGAGAAUAGCAAGAGUGAGCAACAAUGCUCAGCAAGUAAUAAUAACAAUGAAAGUUCUGAAGUGAUAUAACAGAAAUUCUCGAGUUCAAGAUAUAAAAAGAUUCAACCUGAGUUCACAAAUUCAGGUAUUGUAUAAAAGAAUCACAAUACCUUGCAGCAAUAGAAACCUGAGGAAUUCAAUCCUUCACAAGAGAAUUAUUGAAUUGGACUAUCACAUUUUAAUUAAAAACCAAGGUUAGGAUGCUGAUCAGUCAUACCUAACCCCGAGCAGGCCCCGCCAUGCUCUAUCACUGGAUCCAAGGCACUCAUUGGCCUAACAUGACCACGAAUCUGGUCCACAGGUUUAUAUAAAAACAAUAAUCCAAUUCUCUAAUUCAAUUCAAGAAGCCAAUGUAAAUUAACAGAACAUCAUCAUAAAUAUCAUCAACAACAGAAUAAUUCCAAUUCAAACUUUGAUAAUACUCUAUUCAUAAAUUAUGAUCCAUCAUUUCAUAAAUCACAGUUCAGGAAAUCCUCAACUAUUCAGUAUCCUCCAUUAUCGGCUAAGCAACUGAAUUUAGCCUGCUAAACCAGCAUGACAAUGGCGGGUUGAAUAAUCAAGAAGAUCCCAAUUCAUUCAAAGCUCUAACUAUCACUGAGCAACACAUGCUUCAAUGACAAUCUGAACUUCGAAUUAAUUUGUAAAACGGAAAUUCUUUAGAAACUUGAAGAUUAGAAAGAAUGGGUCAUAAUACUCGUACUUUCGAACAUUGAAAAGAAAGGUAUGAAUACUUGAAACAUAUACCAAAGGAAUGGAUCAGAAUAUUUGCAAUAUAUCCAAGAGAAAGGUUUAGGAUACUUGCAACACAUGUAAAAGGAAUGAAUCAGAAUAUAUGCAAUAUAUCCAAAAGCAGGGUGCAGGAUACUUGCCUUAAAUCUGACUCCAGUCUCACAUCUCAAUCUCAUCUUUCCACUUUCACAAUCUAGGCAUAUCACAGUCUCUAGACCAUCUCUGGCUAUACUCUAUUCGCCACACUGCCUCGCUUACUCGAUUCAUUCUUUAUUCUCUUUGCAAUACCAUUCUGACUUUCUGAUGUCUUCAAGCGUACUCGUCACGUCCAAAUCCUUUACGAGAAUAAAAUAAUACUAUAAUCACUAAUCAAUUUAUCGCAUAUACAUAUCACGUAUAUAGAUACCCACUUAUAUACCCCUUUAAACCUAUCAAAUAUCACUUAGCACAUAAUCAUGCUUUGACUCUAAUAUAUAGUCAUAUCAUUCUCCACAUAGUAUGUCACAAUUCAAAACUCAUAUAAAUCAUAUCGAUAAUCUGACAGAGUCUCGUCUAUUUAUAAGACUAUCCACCUAUCAACCUAUUCUCAAUCAAUAACCAAUCAACCAAUUUCAAUUCCUAUAAUCCAUAUGUUCUUAUCCAAUAUCAGUUAAGUCAUGACACUAUGUCAUUCAAAUCAUUUAUCAUGUAUAUAAUAUCAAGAAUAAACAUAUAUAUCACGUAAUCAUCAAUUAAUAGCAAUCAAAUAACAUAUAAUCACAUUUUGCACAUUUAACAAAAAUUAUUCACAUUCUCGACUCCAUCAUAAUAUUAUGUCAUAUCAAACUAGACUUUAUAAGCUUCUGUCUCUCUUUCGUUUCACUUGAUUCCGACUUACGGAUCAAAAGUUAUGCUCAAAACCGUUUUCUCACUCUCCUAUCGGCACAUAACACAUCCAACCAAUAGCAGACAACACACAACACAUAAGGUUUCCCAUCCCAAUUGAUAUUAAAUCAAGUCUUGGGUUAAAAAUGAUUUUUCGGGAAUUUUCCAGAAUUUUUAAACAUUUUUCGGAAUUAAAAUCGAUAAAAGAAUCACUUUUCGAAUAAAUAAUCAAGUCCCAAAUACUUGAAAUUGGACUUGAAAUCAUUCAUAAACAAUAGUAGAGCCUUGAAAAUAAUUUGGAAAAAUAUUUUAAAGCUCGAAACUAUUUUUCGGAAUUUUUAAAUCAAAAAGGAUUAAUUAAAUCCAAUUAAUUAAUCAAUUAAAAUCAAUUAAUAAUUAAUUAAAAUAAUUAAUCAAUUAAUAUUUAAAUUAAUUGACCAAUUAAAAUAAUUAAUUACUAAUUAAAAUUAAUUAAUAAACUAAUUUAGAUUUAUUUUUGAAUAAAGAAAUAAUUAAAAAUCUUUUUUGAAAUUAAAGAAAAUAAGUAUAAAAACAAUUUUUAAAAGAUUUAAAAAAUAAAGGGUUUAAUCUGCUAGUUUUGGAAACUUCUAGCAGGGUUUUAUUUGCAAAACCAGAAACUUUGGGGGUUGAUUUGUAAAACUGCAGUAGAUGGGUGAUGAAAUUGAAAUUUCACCACCAUCUCUCCCAGUUGCCGCCGGCAGCCAUGGCUGCCGCCUUGGAGCUCGCCGGCGGUGACUCCCUCUGCCCAGAACACACCCAAAUUCACACCACAGCAACACUACACCACCAGGAACUCGAAUAUACUAACCAAUUAGACCGAAGAUCCAUAAAUCGGCCGGAAAACCAAGUCAAAGGUUCGUCUCCGGCGAACCUUAUAACUUCCGAUCAACUCGAAAACAAACUCCUCCACCCUCAGUGAUCACAUACGAACGCUCCUCACAACCAUACAAACACAGUGGUAACCUCUGAUUUUGCCCAGAAUCAACGAUUUGUAAGCCCCCAAUUUUCAAUUGAAAAUGUUCAAGAACACUCAAGAACAUGAAGAACAGUUAUUUCAAAGAUCAAUCCCAUGUUUCUAUGUGUUUCUGAAGUCCAAAUUCGACAUAUAAUAUACCGAAACGACGAGAAAAACACGUUCUACAACAUAGAAGCAUCAAAACAAUCAAACAAGAUCGUUUACAAAAAUUCAUCUUUAAAAUUAUAAUAAUUCGAAUUUUCAAAAAUUAAUAAGAAAUUACCCGUGAAAUCUGCACGGUUAUGAUUGAUUAAACUGGAUUCUACACGUCGAUAGCUUCGUUUUGACUAUUCAUACGCCUCCAUCGGAUUCCAAUAACACCUCCAAAUCCUCGUUUGAUUACGAAGAACACGAAGAACACACUUCGGUUUCUCUCGGUAUUCGUGCAGAGAAACUGGUGAAAUGAUUUUACGGUUGAAAAUCAGCUAUAGAAAAGUCUAUUUAUAUUUACAAAUAAUUGGUACCCCUUUGGAUCGUUUAUGACAUGAAAAUACGUAUUUAAUAGCUUUAUAUUAAUAAAGCGGGGUCCAAUCGGUACCGGUUUUCGAGAUAAUCAUCAAAACGGGGC
This 3534-nucleotide long non-coding RNA is filed under the name Daucus carota (carrot). RNAcentral describes it as "long non-coding RNA (DCAR_LNC004937)". Lineage: Eukaryota; Viridiplantae; Streptophyta; Magnoliopsida; Apiales; Apiaceae. The record is from RNAcentral.